RNAcentral lists this ribosomal RNA (377 nucleotides) under Paraoxypilus verreauxii. RNAcentral's name for it is "partial 12S ribosomal RNA". Lineage: Eukaryota; Metazoa; Arthropoda; Insecta; Mantodea; Amorphoscelidae. The record is from RNAcentral.
AUUAGAUACCCUAUUAUUUUUAAUGUAAAGGAUAAAAACUGAAGUAGUAUUUGUUAUAGUCUUGAAACUUAAAGAAUUUGGCGGUAUUAUAGUCUAUUUAGAGGAAUCUGUCAUGUAAUCGAUAUUCCACGUUGAACCUUACUUAUAUUAAUUCUUGUAUAUCGCUGUUUAUGAAUAUAUUUGUAGAUAAUUUUCUGAAUAUAUGAUUAGUUAAUAUUUCAAGUCAAGGUGCAGUAAUAUAUAAGAAAUAGAUGGAUUACAAUAAAUUUUAUUUAAAUGGAUAAUUAAUGAAAAAUAUAUUUGAAGGUGGAUUUAGUUGUAAUUUAAAAAAGAUUAUUUAAAUGAUUAAAAGCUCUAUAAUAUGCACACAUCGCCCG